This 429-nucleotide ribosomal RNA is filed under the name Acidobacteriota bacterium. RNAcentral's name for it is "Acidobacteria bacterium partial 16S ribosomal RNA". It matches the Rfam family "Bacterial small subunit ribosomal RNA", at positions 355 to 776 of the family's 1533-position model. Lineage: Bacteria; Pseudomonadati; Acidobacteriota. The record is from RNAcentral.
UGGGGAAUUUUGGACAAUGGGGGAAACCCUGAUCCAGCCAUCCCGCGUGUGCGAUGAAGGCCUUCGGGUUGUAAAGCACUUUUGGCAGGAAAGAAACGUCAUGGGUUAAUACCCCGUGAAACUGACGGUACCUGCAGAAUAAGCACCGGCUAACUACGUGCCAGCAGCCGCGUUAAUACGUAGGGUGCAAGCGUUAAUCGGAAUUACUGGGCGUAAAGCGUGCGCAGGCGGUUCGGAAAGAAAGAUGUGAAAUCCCAGAGCUCAACUUUGGAACUGCAUUUUUAACUACCGGGCUAGAGUGUGUCAGAGGGAGGUGGAAUUCCGCGUGUAGCAGUGAAAUGCGUAGAUAUGCGGAGGAACACCGAUGGCGAAGGCAGCCUCCUGGGAUAACACUGACGCUAAUGCACGAAAGCGUGGGGAGCAAACAGG